GUAGGGAAUAUUGCGCAAUGGACGAAAGUCUGACGCAGCGACGCCGCGUGAGUGAUGAAGGCCUUAGGGUCGUAAAGCUCUGUUGAAUGGGAAGAAAAAAAUGACGGUACCAUUCGAGGAAGGACCGGCUAACUUCGUGCCAGCAGCCGCGGUAAUACGAGGGGUCCUAGCGUUGUUCGGAAUCAUUGGGCGUAAAGGGUGUGUAGGUGGCCAUGUAAGUCAGGUGUGAAAGCCCCGGGCUCAACCCGGGAAGUGCACUUGAUACUGCGUGGCUUGAGUACCGAAGAGGGUAGUGGAAUUCCAGGUGUAGUGGUGAAAUACGUAGAUAUCAGGUGGAACACCGGAGGCGAAGGCGGGUAACUGGACGAACACUGACACUGAGGCCCGAAAGCGUGGGGAUCAAACAGGAUUAGAAACCCGAGUAGUCC
RNAcentral lists this ribosomal RNA (428 nucleotides) under uncultured bacterium. RNAcentral describes it as "partial 16S ribosomal RNA". It matches the Rfam family "Bacterial small subunit ribosomal RNA", at positions 354 to 796 of the family's 1533-position model. The record is from RNAcentral.